UAGGUAAGAAUAAUAGGAAUAGAUAUUCCUAUUCCAUUAUUUUAAUUAUUGAAAAUAGUUCUUACUCAAUAAACAUAUUGAAAUAUGAAUUAUAAAACAAUUAUUAGUCAGUGAGUCAGGUUCAACACUUGAUAAAUUUUAACUUCAAAAUCUUACGUUAUUUUAUAAAGAAAAUCCUAAAUCCUACAUAAACCUCAUGAUUUUAUAUGUAACAAAAAGGAAAAACAGGCCUCCGGGCGAAUGGUGGCGCUUCCUAUCGCGCUCCCGCGGUACUAUCAAACUGCCGUCCAAAUUGGCAUCCGGAAUGUUUACGAGUGGUAUCACCUUAUCUUCUCUACAUCGUGUAACAUUCAUUGAUUGUGGUCAGGUUUAUAGAUAAUGUUAUCUAGAAUAUCGUUAUAUUAUCACAGAAUAAUAUUAUUCUGUGAUAUUAUGUUAUGUUAUUAUCAUAGAUAGGGUUGCCAGAUUUUAAAAUUACCAAACCAGGACAUUAUUAAAUUACCUUUUUAUUUUUUUUUAGUAUAAUUAUAUGGAAAUAAUACCCGUUAUUUUAUUUAAAAUUAAAAUUAAUAAACAAAUACAAUUUUUUUUUAUAUAAACUAUAUUUAAUAUUUAUUUCAUUUACAUUUAUUAGGUAGUUAUAAGCUUAUUUUGAUAUUAUUUUGUUUAAUGGAUUUUUAAAUUUUUUUUUAAUACAACUAUAUUAUUCUUAAUUUUUUAAUAAAAUUCAUUACAAUUUAGACCAAAAUUGUUUCGUUCUUAAAUAAUACAAUAUUUAAAUUAUUUUCGCUCAGCUUCCAUUAAUCGGGACAAAAUAAAUGACCGGCCGGGACACCGGGACAUGAUGUUAUAAAACAAACGAUCUUGUCAAAAAACUAUUUGCAAGAAAUUUGUGUACUUAGUAUUUAAGCGAGAAACCAAGGAAAAAUUGGAGGACGUGGUAAAAUUGUUGAAAUAGACGAAAGCUUAUUUUCCAAGCGCAAAAAUAAUGCAGGCAGAAUGGCACAGCGCGUCGUCAUCUAAAAUCAUACUUGGCGGAAUUCAUGUGGAGACAAAACAUAAAAGAAAAUCAAGGAAUCUGGCUGUAGCACCUCUGGCGUGUGCCGUGAAAAAUAUAUUACAAAUGAUUUCAAUAUUUUCAUUUAAAUACAAUUCAAAUGUGGCCAUCUCCACAUUACCUACAGAUUAAAAAAAAAAUUAAUUAAGAUCGCCUCCACAUGUACGACGUUCUCUUAAUAAAAAUAAGGUAGUCUUAGAUAUCAGGAUUGUGAUGUUUUACAAAAAAAUAGCGGUAGUUGCGAUAACAGAGGUAGUCUCGUAUAACAGGAAAGUACCCUUCCUUAUAUAUAAACAUGCAGAAGCAUAUGAUUGUUACAUGUUAAUCAUACAUUCAUACCGUUAUAAUAUGUUCCAGGAUAUGGCAUUAGAUAAAAAAUAUUUAUGCAAGACAAAUAUUUGAAAAAAAGUAGGCAUUUAAAAUCUAAAAAUCCAGGUGUAAAAAUACUGUUUCUUUAUACUAUUAAAAUGUUAAUAUAAAUAAAAAGAAAAAACAGAAAUUAAUUUAUUUUAAAUGAUUAAUAACUUAAU
This is a long non-coding RNA of Aphis gossypii (cotton aphid), 1587 nucleotides long. RefSeq lists it as uncharacterized. Lineage: Eukaryota; Metazoa; Arthropoda; Insecta; Hemiptera; Aphididae. The record is from RefSeq and is a predicted model, not a curated record. The transcript has 3 exons.